This 23-nucleotide microRNA is filed under the name Capitella teleta. RNAcentral's name for it is "cte-miR-2688-5p". Lineage: Eukaryota; Metazoa; Annelida; Polychaeta; Capitellidae. The record is from miRBase by way of RNAcentral.
GCGCUGGUUUUACUGAAGUUGUG